This 460-nucleotide ribosomal RNA is filed under the name uncultured bacterium. RNAcentral's name for it is "partial 16S ribosomal RNA". It matches the Rfam family "Bacterial small subunit ribosomal RNA", at positions 338 to 795 of the family's 1533-position model. The record is from RNAcentral.
CCUACGGGUGACAGCAGUGAGGAAUAUUGGUCAAUGGCCGUAAGCCUGAACCAGCCAAGUCGCGUGAGGGAUGAAGGUUCUAUGGGUCGUAAACCUCUUUUAUAAGGGAAUAAAGAGUGGGACGUGUCCUGUUUUGUAUGUACCUUAUGAAUAAGGAUCGGCUAACUCCGUGCCAGCAGCCGCGGUAAUACGGAGGAUCCGAGCGUUAUCCGGAUUUAUUGGGUUUAAAGGGUGCGUAGGCGGCAUUUUAAGUCAGCGGUGAAAGUCUGUGGCUCAACCAUAGAAUUGCCGUUGAAACUGGGAGGCUUGAGUGUGUGAGAGGUAGGCGGAAUGCGUGGUGUAGCGGUGAAAUGCUUAGAUAUCACGCAGAACUCCGAUUGCGAAGGCAGCUCACUGGAGUGCAACUGACACUGAGGCACGAAAGUGUGGGUAUCGAACAGGAUUAGAUACCCCAGUAGUC